Molecule: ribosomal RNA, 1423 nt
Filed under: metagenome
Description: bacterial SSU rRNA
Rfam family: Eukaryotic small subunit ribosomal RNA
Source: RNAcentral
GACCUUUUCCAUCAUGGAGAAGGGUACCAGUAAAACGGUUUGUAAUGUGGGUUGAUUAGAACUUAACCCGAGCAACAAUUGGAGGAAAAGUCUGGUGCCAGCACCCGCGGUAAUUCCAGCUCCAAUAGUGUAUUUUAAAGUUGUUGCAGUUAAAACGCUCGUAGUCAAUUUAAGACUCCAGAAUAUAACGCCCGGAGGGCCAACGCCGCCAUUUCUAGCUUAGCGUGGAGUGUUACGGUGACAGCCGUCUAUAGUUGGUUUUCCCGUGGCUUUUUACGGCGCAAAAGCGCUGUUUUAGGUGGGCCUAUAGUUCUGGAUUCGCCCCGCUAAUUUAUUUUAGCCCCCUCAACUGUGAGAAAAACAAAGUGCUCAAAACAAACAAUGUUAAAUACGUUUGAAUGACACAACAUGGUAUUGAAUAUCAGCCUUGCGCUAUUUUAUAGCUCAAGGCGUAUAUAAUGGGAUGUUGGAAGAGGAUUCAGGCAUUGUUGCGCUAGAGGUGAAAUUCAAAGAACGCAGCAAGACUAACAGAUGCAAAAGCGGUUAUAUCCAUUACGCUUCCGUCAAUCAGGAACGAAAGUCGGGGGAUCGAAGAUGAUCAGAUACCGUCGUAGUCCCGACCGUAAACUAUACUGACAAGAGAUUGGCAAGAUACCUUUUUUCCAGAUCCCCUCAGAAUCUAAGGGAAACCGAAAGUGUUUGAGUUCUGGGGGGAGUAUGGUCGCAAGGCUGAAACUUAAAAGAAUUGACGGAAGAGCACCACCAGGAGUGGAGUUUGCGGCUUAAUUCGACCCAACACGGGAAAACUCACCAGGUCCGGACAUUAGUAGGAGUGACAGAUUAAAGUUCUUUCAUGAUUUGAUGCACGGUGGUGCAUGGCCGUUCUUAGUUCGUGGAGUGAUUUGUCAGGUUAAUUCCGAUAACGAACGAGACCUUAAUCUAUUAAAUAGGCUUUGGCUUUAUUAAAGCCAAAUUUUGCGCUAGGGCAACUUAGCGCAAGCCGCUUCUUAGGGAGACAAUGCAGCGUUUAUAAAUUAGCGUAGGGAAGUUUGAGGCAAUAACAGGUCUGUGAUGCCCUUAGAUGUUCUGGGCAGCACGCGUAUUACAAUGUUAAUACCAACGAGUUUAUUGCCGGCGCAAGCCGGUACCUUUCCUAAUAAAAAGGACGGGAAAACUUUUCAACAAUUAACGUGACUGGGAUAGCUGUUUGUAACUACAUCUUUAACGAGGAAUUCCUAGUAGGCGCAAGUCAUCAACUUGCAUCGAUUACGUCCCUGCUCUUUGUACACACCGCCCGUCGCUCCUACCGAUGGAACGAAAAGGUGAAUUUAAAGAACUGCAUUCGUGUGGGAAUUUAACUGAACCUUUUUGUUUGUAGGAAGGAAAAGUCGUAACAAGGUCUCCGUAGGUGAACCUGCGGAGG